AAAACUAACUUCGAAGUGUACCCAAGAAAAUACAUAGGUAUUCAAGGGGACAUUUGGACGAUGAUGAGCCUCAUCGUGCAAUCACAGUCUUCUUCCUCUUCGUCCACCCUUUCGGCGUGUACUGUCUGUGGGAAUCGGAGUCACAUCCUCUGCAAAUGCAUUCAAGAAAGAUUCAGUUUGCAAUGAGCAAUCAAAAGUUGCAAUAAACAAGACGAAGUGAGAGAUAUUCAGUUUCUGAAUUUACCUAUACGACCAAUCUUCAUGCCAGAACGAGCAAGGGCUCUGAGAGCAGACUGAGCACCAGGACCUGGAGUCUUGGUUUUGUUUCCUCCAGUAGCACGGAGCUUCACGUGAAUGGCUGUGAUGCCAAGCUCCUGUCACAUAUGGAGCAUUAGACAUUAUCAUCCAGAAGCUCAAUGUGAUUAUAAGAAAAAAAAGUAUGAAUAUCAAAUCAUUUCUGACCUUGCAUCUUUGAGCAACAUCUUGAGCUGCAAGCAUAGCAGCAUAAGGAGAGGACUCAUCACGAUCAGCCUUCACCUUCAUGCCACCUGCAAAAUGUGCAUUCGAAGAUUGAAGUCACAUAAUCAUCAAAUUACACAGAAUAUAAAUGAAUUCUAUAGAAAUAUUGUGAGAGAUUAGAGUCUACACUAACAUAAGCACAGAUAACAAAAGACUACUAUGAAACA
Molecule: long non-coding RNA, 686 nt
Filed under: Arabidopsis lyrata
Lineage: Eukaryota; Viridiplantae; Streptophyta; Magnoliopsida; Brassicales; Brassicaceae
Description: long non-coding RNA (ALYR_LNC002281)
Source: RNAcentral